This 209-nucleotide ribosomal RNA is filed under the name Sphingobium sp. TB-6. RNAcentral describes it as "partial 16S ribosomal RNA". It matches the Rfam family "Bacterial small subunit ribosomal RNA", at positions 1 to 235 of the family's 1533-position model. Lineage: Bacteria; Pseudomonadati; Pseudomonadota; Alphaproteobacteria; Sphingomonadales; Sphingobiaceae. The record is from RNAcentral.
CAAACUUGAGAGUUUGAUCCUGGCUCAGAACGAACGCUGGCGGCAUGCCUAAUACAUGCAAGUCGAACGAGAUCCUUCGGGGUCUAGUGGCGCACGGGUGCGUAACGCGUGGGAAUCUGCCCUUGGGUUCGGAAUAACGUUUGGAAACGAACGCUAAUACCGGAUGAUGACGAAAGUCCAAAGAUUUAUCGCCCAGGGAUGAGCCCGCG